GUUGUUAUAAGAGAAUGAGUGCUAUGGGGAGAAUAGGUAGUUACAUAGGUAGAGGGGUACGUAGUGUUUCGGGGACGUUGAAUCCAUUUGGUGGUGCUGUGGAUAUCAUUGUGGUGAGGCAGCCAGAUGGGAGUUUGAAAUCAACUCCUUGGUAUGUUAGAUUUGGGAAGAUUCAGGGGGUUUUGAAGGCUAGAGAAAAUGCGGUUGAUGUAAGUGUCAAUGGCGUUGAAGCUGGUUUUCGUAUGAAUUUAGAUACUAGAGGGCAGGCAUACUUCCUAAGGGAGCGAGACAUGGAAAAUGGAUAUUCUUUAACUACUCGAACAUCUGAACAACUUGCAACUUUGAAUCUGAAGGAGGGAAAGAAUGUGGUUGUAUUCACCUGCUCAAAACAGCAGGUUGAUGCACGUAUAUAUUUGUGGAGAUGGGACGCAAAUAUUGUAAUCUCGGAUGUUGAUGGAACAAUUACUAGAUCUGACGUUCUAGGACAGUUCAUGCCUUUGGUGGGGAGGGAUUGGUCACAGACAGGUGUUGCACAUCUCUUAUCGGCUAUCAAGGAGAACGGUUAUCAAUUGCUUUUCUUGAGUGCACGUUCUAUUUCACAGGCCUAUCUGACUAGACAAUUCCUGUUUAAUCUUAUGCAGGAUGGAAAGGGAUUACCGGAAGGACCAGUUGUCACAUCUCCU
This 683-nucleotide unclassified non-coding RNA is filed under the name Hevea brasiliensis (rubber tree). The record is from RNAcentral. Lineage: Eukaryota; Viridiplantae; Streptophyta; Magnoliopsida; Malpighiales; Euphorbiaceae.